This 612-nucleotide ribosomal RNA is filed under the name uncultured bacterium. RNAcentral describes it as "bacterial SSU rRNA". The stretch from base 1 to 517 matches the Rfam family "Bacterial small subunit ribosomal RNA", at positions 338 to 873 of the family's 1533-position model. The record is from RNAcentral.
CCUACGGGAGGCAGCAGUGGGGAAUAUUGGACAAUGGGCGCAAGCCUGAUCCAGCAAUGCCGCGUGAGUGAUGAAGGCCUUAGGGUCGUAAAGCUCUUUUACCAGGGAUGAUAAUGACAGUACCUGGAGAAUAAGCUCCGGCUAACUCCGUGCCAGCAGCCGCGGUAAUACGGAGGGAGCUAGCGUUGUUCGGAAUUACUGGGCGUAAAGCGUACGUAGGCGGUUAUUCAAGUCAGAGGUGAAAGCCCGGGGCUCAACCCCGGAACGGCCUUUGAAACUAGGUAGCUAGAAUCUUGGAGAGGUCAGUGGAAUUCCGAGUGUAGAGGUGAAAUUCGUAGAUAUUCGGAAGAACACCAGUGGCGAAGGCGACUGACUGGACAAGUAUUGACGCUGAGGUACGAAAGCGUGGGGAGCAAACAGGAUUAGAUACCCUGGUAGUCCACGCCGUAAACGAUGAUAACUAGCUGUCCGGGCACUUGGUGCCUGGGUGCGCAGCUAUCGCAUUAAGUUAUCCGUCCGUCGGGUAGGUACGGUCGCGAAGAAUUAAAACGUUAAAAGGUAAAGUUAGUACGGCGUGAGACGUGCCGAACGGACGACGACGAGGGAGGUAGG